UUCAACUUCUGGGUUCUUCUUGAGAUCUCUCUUUCUUGUUCUUUGAGAGACCUUUCUUUUUCUUCUAUUUUUAAUUUCUGUUUCUUGUGAUCUUACAUGAGAUCUUGGUUAAACUGGAAGAACCUUAUACAAUAUAUCUUGCUAAAGUAAUUUGGCCAAUUGUAAGGCCUAUGUUGUGUAUAUUUUGAUUAGACAAUAGGGGCCUUGGUUUAUUGGUGAUUAAUGUUUGAUUUUGUGAGAUCCUUUGGAUCAAUGAUCGGAUCCAGUGUCCGAGUGUGGUCUCUGUCUCUUAGAAGGUUAUUUUCCACAUAAUAAAAGGGCCAACCACAGAGCCCCCAGGUUAGGCAUUUUUCGUCGAACUGGGUGAACAAUUGUUUGUGUUCUUUACUAUUUUUGUGCGUGAUUGAUUGUUUAUUCUCACACGAACAAUGAAACAAACUGGUAAAUCCUUACAAAUAUGGUAUCAGAGCUAUUCAGACUUCGAGUCACGAUUUCCUGUCAGAGAAUCAUCUUCUUAAUCCACCUUAAUUCAUAUUUUUAUAUACAUUGAAUUUUUUUUGGAAAUUAUUACCGAUCGAUUUUCUGAUAAGUACAGUGCCUGAAAGCCAUAACUGGUGAUCUUGGUGUCUUGGGCUCGAAUGGGUUUCUUGGUAGGUGGUCUAAGUAUUUGAAUUUUAAUAAGCCAACCGUGCAAUGGGUGAGAUUGUUCUAAUUUUGACUUUACUCAUAAUAACUAAAAAGCAUGCAUUUGUUUGUUCUUAAAGAUUGGGUGACACUAGUUGAUAAAUUUUUAAGAACAAUUUCAUUCUUGUAUGUGAUAUCUGUAUGAGAUGGUAUUGAGGCAUGUUUUAAGUUGGUAAUCUCAAUAUAUUGUAUUAUGUGAUCUUGAGAUUAAUUACUUGUUGACUUUGCUAUGAUAGCUUGGAUACUCUUGUUGAUACUAUAUUGUAAUUCUUAAGUCAGUUUACCUUUUAAUUGUUGCAAAGUUUUUUCAAAACCUUUCCUGCACUUAAGUGAUCAACUAUUAAGAAUCACUUAUGUCCACAAGUAAUCACCACCCUUUUACUGAACCUAUAAUGGAUUUGAAGUUCGAGUUGUCUCAAUUCGAUGGAAAAUAAUACUCGAUAUUGAAGCAGAAAAUUAGGGCUAUAUUGGUCCAACAAAGGUUUACUAAAGCCCUAGAUGAUCCUAAAAUUUUUUUUGCUAAAUUAAAGGCUAGACCUGAUGAAAUUCUAGAAAUGAAUGAAAUUGUUUAUAGCUCAAUUAUCUAGCAUUUAUCUGACAACAUUAUAAGACAAGUUGAAGAUUCUAAAACACAUAGAUCCUUAUGGACAGCACUUGAUGCACUGUUCUUGAUUAAGACAUUGCCAAACAAAAUCUAUUUGCUGGAGAAAUUAUUCACUUUUAAGAUGGACAUUGGGAAAGACCUAGAAACAAACUUGAGUGAUUUUAGUAUUUUAGUUAAGAGUCUUGCACACAAUGACAAGAAAUUCUAUGAUGAAGACCUUGCAGUUAUACUAUUCAACUCACUGCCUGAAUCUUAUAAGGAUAUAAAAAAUGCCGUAAAAUACUCAAGAGAUGCUCUAACUCAAACUACAGUAACAAAUGCUUUAAUAGCUAGAGAACUAAAGGCCAAGAAAGAAACUAUAUCUUAUACAAGAGAAGAUGGCAUGUUUGUUAGAGGGAGAACAGAAAAGAAAGAAAAUGAUACCUAGAAUAGAAAAUUUAAAUUUAAAUCCAGAGGUAGAUCCAAAUCCAGGGAUAAGUGUAUUAAAGAGUGUUAUCACUGUGAAAAACUUGGGCACUUUAAGAGACUAUUUUGAAGUGCAAAGGAAACACAAAUACCAAAGCAUUGUUGACCUGACCAAUGUUACUAUCAGUCGUGAUCUGGAUAGUCUUCUUGUAAUGUUUGUGUCCGAUGAUGAUAGUAACAAGGAUUGGAUCUUAGACUCAAGAUGCACAUUUCACAUGAGUCCUAAUAGAUCUUGGUUCUACAAUUACAAAUCAAUUGAAUCCAAGAAAGUGUACAUGGGAGAUGACAAUUCCCAAAUAGUACGGGGAAUUGGUGACAUUGCUAUUAAAAUGCAUGAUGACAUUGUGAGACAAAUCAAGAAUGUUAGGCAUGUCCCAAACCUAAAAAGAAACCUUAUUGCAUUAGGGAUUCUUGAAGAUGAAGGGUAUACAUUUAAAUGUGAUAAUAACAUACUAAAAGUGAUGAAGGGAUUACUUGUUAUGUUGAAAGGACCCAAGAAGAAUGGGCUAUAUUAUCUUCCUAGAGAAACCAUAACCACUCAAGAUAAUAGCUCUUUAACUGUAAUUGAAAUUAAGUCUGAAUUUUGUCGUAAUAGAUUAGGACAUACUGGCAAUAAGGGCCUAAAAUAUCUAAGUAAUAAAAAGUUACCUGGGAAAGAUAUAAUUGAGCCCCAUCAAUUUUUUGAGACUUGUGUAUUAGGUAAGUCCCAUAAGGUGAGUUUUAAUAUAGGGUCUCAUACCACUAAUAGACCUUUGGAUUAUGUUCAUUCUGACGUGCGGGGACUUGACAGUCACCUCACCUUUGGGGGGAACAGAUACUUUCUGUCCAUCAUUGAUGACUCUUCCAAGAAAGUCUAGGUUUACUCUUUGAGGGCCAAAUCUGAAACUUUCCAGAAAUUCAAAACUUGGCUUAAAAUUAUAGAGAAUCAGUUGAAUAAGAAACUGAAAACACUAAGGAUUGAUAAUAGAUUGGAGUUCUAUAAUUCUAAAUUUGAGAACCUCUGUAAACAAAAAGGGGUGUCUGAUGCAGGAGGAUCCAAGUCAAGUGAUGCUGAUUUGUCAGAUUGCACGAUGAUGGCGCUGAGAUACCAUGAGAUGGCGGAUCGGCGCAAAGAUGGAAAGUAAAAUCCCCAUUAGCCUUUUGGAAAGUAAAAUCACCAUUAUUUCCUUAAUUUGGAGAUUUUGACGCGUUUUUGGUAAUUUGGCCAUAACUUUGGCUACGAUUAUCGGAAUCGCUAUUAUGACCCCAAUUCGGAAAGCUCUCUUCGGCGCGCACGUCGUGGCCACCAAGUUUUGCUCGGUGGACGUCAAUUUCAAGCCCAAAAUCCACUGUUUUCCUUUCCAAAAUUCAAUUUUAAGUUAUUUUUUACUAUUUAUGGUAAUAUUUAGUUUCCUUUUUUCUUUAUG
RNAcentral lists this long non-coding RNA (3159 nucleotides) under Olea europaea subsp. europaea. Lineage: Eukaryota; Viridiplantae; Streptophyta; Magnoliopsida; Lamiales; Oleaceae. The record is from RNAcentral.